Molecule: non-coding RNA, 499 nt
Organism: Pelobates cultripes (western spadefoot toad)
Lineage: Eukaryota; Metazoa; Chordata; Amphibia; Anura; Pelobatidae
Source: the annotation of a GenBank genome assembly
GGGGCGUGGCCUGGACGUGAACGAGAGCGGUCGCAUGCUCGUCUAGCUCCGCAAAAAUUAAGGCCCUCAUGCAGCAUUGACAACCCGAAACCACAAUAAACUGCACAUUGGGACACACCAUCACUAUGUCCCACAACAAAAGCAAACGGGCAUCCGAUAAAAACGACAAAAUGAUCUUUUUUAGUGCCAAACAAGGGCACACACGAGGAGUUACUAUACCGGAGGAGCAGCAAGAUGGCGCCGACCUGGAGAGCUCACAAUGUCCGCAAAAUGAAACCGCCAACACUAUACUUACCACGGAGAGUCUGCAGGCGAUGUUGGAUGAUAUGGCGGCAAAACUACAGGGUACGCUGCAGUGCUCGUUUACCGACCUCCGCACGGAUAUACACAAACUGGGCUCUCGCACCUCGGAUCUGGAAAACCAGAUGGAGGCACAAAUGGAGGCGCAUACCCGCCUAACCACCAAAGUGGAAGAAGCAUGGGACCGGCUGAACGAAUA